Molecule: non-coding RNA, 977 nt
Filed under: Drosophila ananassae
Lineage: Eukaryota; Metazoa; Arthropoda; Insecta; Diptera; Drosophilidae
Description: Eukaryotic large subunit ribosomal RNA
Rfam family: Eukaryotic large subunit ribosomal RNA
Source: Rfam by way of RNAcentral
CAACCUCAACUCAUAUGGGACUACCCCCUGAAUUUAAGCAUAUUAAUUAGGGGAGGAAAAGAAACUAACAAGGAUUUUCUUAGUAGCGGCGAGCGAAAAGAAAUCAGUUCAGCACUAAGUCACUUUGUCUAUAUGGCAAAUGUGAGAUGCAGUGUAUGGAGCGUCAAUAUUCUAGUAUGAGAAAUUAACGAUUUAAGUCCUUCUUAAAUGAGGCCAUUUACCCAUAGAGGGUGCCAGGCCCGUAUAACGUUAAUGAUUACUAGAUGAUGUUUCCAAAGAGUCGUGUUGCUUGAUAGUGCAGCACUAAGUGGGUGGUAAACUCCAUCUAAAACUAAAUAUAACCAUGAGACCGAUAGUAAACAAGUACCGUGAGGGAAAGUUGAAAAGAACUCUGAAUAGAGAGUUAAAUAGUACGUGAAACUGCUUAGAGGUUAAGCCCGAUGAACCUGAAUAUCCGUUAUGGAAAAUUCAUCAUUAAAGUUAUAAUAUUUAAACAAUAUUAUACAAAUAAUGUGCAUUUUUUCCAUAUAAGGACAUUGUAAUCUAUUAACAUAUUAAAUUUAUCAUAAAAUAUGGCUUAUAGCUUAUUCAAAUUAUUAUGCUUGCAUUUUUAACAUAGAAUAAAUGUCAUUAAUUUGAUAAAGUGUUGAUAGACUAAUAAGAAUACAGUGCGUUAAUUUUUUCGGAAUUAUAUAAUGGGCAAAAUUAUCAAUUGAUUUUUGUGUUUAUUAAAAGCACUUGUAUGAUUAACAUUGCGAAAGAUUCAGGAUACCUUCCGGGACCCCGUCUUGAAAACCGGACCAAGGGAAUCCAAAAUAUUUGGCCAGUUAUUGGGGAAAAUAAACCUUAAUAGCCGUAAUUAACUUGACCAAAUAAUGGGAAUUAUUUUUUUUAACCUAUUUUAUAACUUAAUUAAACACCAUCCCCCGGGGCGCUUUUAUAAAAAUUUUGGUAAAAAAAAAAAAAUUUUAAAUAUA